Long non-coding RNA from Neofelis nebulosa (Clouded leopard), 671 nucleotides. RefSeq lists it as uncharacterized. NCBI's taxonomy places the organism in Eukaryota, Metazoa, Chordata, Mammalia, Carnivora, Felidae. The record is from RefSeq and is a predicted model, not a curated record. The transcript is spliced from 3 exons.
GCCUGCUGAACCUGGUCCUUCACGUGGGAGGGCAGCCCCUGGAUGCUGGACCCCAGCGAGGCACAGGUGUUCUGCAGCUGCUGGGCAAUGUCGCGGAACAUGGUAUCUCCCCUAGAGAAAUGGAGACACGCGACCAUACACGGGCUGGGGCUGGUCACAGGACGUUAUCCACAGGAGGCAAAAGUGGAGACAGUCCAGAAGCCCAUCAACUUGUAAACGGACGUUUUUCAGGUUUUUUUAAGCGGACGUCUGGAAGAACUUUCCAGGCAGGAGCUGUGUGGUGGGGGAGACGGAAGUGUAAAUGCGUGCAUCGGGACCUUAACACCCCACCCCCACCACAGGGGGGGAAGAGAGCAGGCUGGGAGGCAGGACUUUGCCCUCAACCCGCCAUCAGAGCGCUCGGGAGACUUGAACCUGACAGGGAGGUGCCGACCAGAGUCAACACCCACAUCUCGCGGUUGCCACGGUCAGCGGUGGGGGAGAAGGGAGAGGGAGGCGGAGGUAGGUGGUUUGGGUCUGAAUGCUAACAAUUUUGCACCUGCAGAGACAGCAGGUGAUAUCUUCACAAAUGCCAUUUUUGAACGGUUUACUAUGUGCUUUAUGUAGCAACUCAAUUUCUUUUAUAGACUAUGUAACUCACGGACCAGAAAAUGCACCCUUUUAAGUAUGUA